AAAUGAAUUGACGGGGGCCCGCACAAGCGGUGGAUUAUGUGGAUUAAUUCGAUGCAACGCGAAAAACCUUACCUGGCCUUGACAUGUAACGAACUUUCCAGAGAUGGAUUGGUGCUCGAAAGAGAACGUUAACACAGGUGCUGCAUGGCUGUCGUCAGCUCGUGUCGUGAGAUGUUGGGUUAAGUCCCGCAACGAGCGCAACCCUUGCCAUUAAUUGCCAUCAUUUAGUUGGGCACUUUAAUGGGACUGCCGGUGACAAACCGGAGGAAGGUGGGGAUGACGUCAAGUCCUCAUGGCCCUUAUGGCCAGGGCUUCACACGUAAUACAAUGGUCGGUACAGAGGGUUGCCAACCCGCAAGGGGGAGCCAAUCCCAGAAAGCCGAUCGUAGUCCGGAUUGAGGUCUGCAACUCGACCUCAUGAAGUCGGAAUCGCUAGUAAUCGCGGAUCAGCAUGUCGCGGUGAAUACGUUCCCGGGCCUUGUACACACCGCCCGUCACACCAUGGGAGUGGGUUUUACCAGAAGUAGGUAGUCUAACCUUCGGGGGGACGCUUACCACGGUAGUAUUCAUGACUGGGGUGAAGUCGUAACAAGGUAACCGUA
RNAcentral lists this ribosomal RNA (602 nucleotides) under uncultured bacterium. Its description in RNAcentral is "bacterial SSU rRNA". It matches the Rfam family "Bacterial small subunit ribosomal RNA", at positions 903 to 1504 of the family's 1533-position model. The record is from RNAcentral.